Molecule: long non-coding RNA, 1543 nt
Organism: Xenopus laevis (African clawed frog)
Lineage: Eukaryota; Metazoa; Chordata; Amphibia; Anura; Pipidae
Exons: 4
Source: RefSeq, a predicted model, not a curated record
GGUUAAGGAUGAGGGAGGGGAGAGCUGAGACGUGAGAUUUGUGGCCAGGACGGAGGAGUGAAUAGAGCCUGCUCGGACUGGCGAGGAACAUACAGAGAGAAGCUACUUUCCGUGUGCUUAGGAGAUCAUAUAGUUCAGACAGACUUUGGCUUAUAAUGUCCUAAAUGGCCACCGUAUGGACAUGUUGUUUCCAUCAUCUGUAUUCUUCUGCUUUCAGUGAUUCUCUGCAGCAACACCACCUAGUGGCAGAAUGCACACAUCAAUCAGUCCUGGCUUUGUGGCAGUCAUCUGGGUACUAGCAGUCUGCAUUUUAUACACGUUUGUGGUUUUGGUUGAAGAAAAUAUACACAUUCAAAAAAAUUCUAACUGAUUUCAGUUUGGACAUCAUAAUAUCAUCACUCUGUGUUGGACGUUAACAUUACAAGAAUGGGACCAUGUAAAGACGACAAUCAAACUAUCACAACUAAGAGAAGGCAAAAUAUGUUUGAAUUAUAUGAAGAAAUGCAGUGUCAUAAACAGUGACAUCUGCUCAAAAUCAGGAACGUCAUUCAAGGAAAAGGAAAAACAUUAUUAUGAAUGAAACGGAUGGGAAAAAAAGACAAAAAAAUCAGUAGUGAUCUCAGCUCUAACAAUGGUACUGCUACUGCGGAGUCUGCAUUGUACUUGCGAUCAAACAUUUCUUUGGAUCCCUGAACUGGGCCUAAAACUAAAGGAUUCUGCAACCCUGAAAAUUUCCUUUAGUGGUUUGUCUCCCAGAGUAGUCGACGCUGCACAAAUCCUUCUAAAACGGCAGUUUACAGUUGAGGGGCUCCACUCUGCACCCACACCUUGGUCUGAAAUAUGCCCUGUGUCUGGACCAGCUGUACAAAUUCAUGUCGAUAUAGAUUGGAGUCACUGCUUUACAUCUUGUUACAGAAGUGGGAGAGUAGAGCUUGUAUAUUCUUUCCCACGUGAAGUUUCACAGUCAAUUUUAUAGCAAAUUGAAGCCAUUUAUCAAAACAUGGUUCCUGAUCCUCUGAAACUAUUUAUUGCUGAUAGCACAAGCUAAGGGUUCUAAAAACUGUGUCCUAUAUGCAAUUGCUUUGGCUUAGGAGAUACUAAAUAAUGGAAAUCCCAGCUGCACGUUUGACAUUUCAAAAAUGAGGAAGCACCUUGUUAAGUGCUUUAUGGCCCAAGAGAUUAUGGAAUUUCCUAAAAUAUCUUAAUCGGUAAUGCCACAAGUGCAGCAAAAAGGUAUUUUUCAACAAGCGCAAAUAUUGCUCUCUCUCUCUCUUUGAGAACCUAAAGGAAGGAGGAAAAGGAGAACUAAAUCCCCCCAGUAACUAAAUACUAAAAACUAAUACACAGUGGGGAUGGGGGGGGCUUUAAUGAAUGGUGGGUUAGUUCUCCUUUAAAAAAAUAGAAUCAGAAGGAGAGAUGCUGGAAACAAUACCUGUAUAAAAAAGGAAGGAUACGACCUAGAAAACUCAUAAGCUAGCUGGCUCAUUUAUCAAAUAUCAAACCAAGAAUUAAAGUAUAAAAUAAAUUAUAUUAUUUUGUGUAA